CCUACGGGAGGCUGCAGUGAGGAAUAUUGGUCAAUGGGCGGAAGCCUGAACCAGCCAAGUAGCGUGCGGGAUGAAGGCCCUACGGGUCGUAAACCGCUUUUGCACGGGGAGAAGACACGCCACGUGUGGAGGUCUGCAGGUACCGUGCGAAUAAGGGCCGGCUAAGUCCGUGCCAGCAGCCGCGGUAAUACGGAAGGCCCGAGCGUUAUCCGGAUUCAUUGGGCUUAAAGGGAGCGUAGGCGGGCGUUCAAGUCAGCUGUAAAAUCGCGCGGCUCACCCGCGCCCCGCAGUUGAAACUGGACGCCUUGAGUUCACCACAGGCAGGCGGACUUCGUUGUGUAGCGGUG
Molecule: ribosomal RNA, 347 nt
Filed under: uncultured bacterium
Lineage: Bacteria
Description: partial 16S ribosomal RNA
Rfam family: Bacterial small subunit ribosomal RNA
Source: RNAcentral